This 433-nucleotide ribosomal RNA is filed under the name uncultured bacterium. Its description in RNAcentral is "partial 16S ribosomal RNA". It matches the Rfam family "Bacterial small subunit ribosomal RNA", at positions 29 to 507 of the family's 1533-position model. The record is from RNAcentral.
AACGAACGCUGGCGGCAUGCCUAACACAUGCAAGUCGAACGAGACCUUCGGGUCUAGUGGCGCACGGGUGCGUAACGCGUGGGAACCUGCCCUUAGGUUCGGAAUAACUCCCCGAAAGGGGUGCUAAUACCGGAUAAUGUCUUCGGACCAAAGAUUUAUCGCCCUUGGAUGGGCCCGCGUUGGAUUAGCUAGUUGGUAGGGUAAAAGCCUACCAAGGCGACGAUCCAUAGCUGGUCUGAGAGGAUGAUCAGCGACACUGGGACUGAGACACGGCCCAGACUCCUACGGGAGGCAGCAGUGGGGAAUAUUGGACAAUGGGCGAAAGCCUGAUCCAGCAAUGCCGCGUGAGUGAUGAAGGCGUUAGGGUUGUAAAGCUCUUUUACCCGGGAUGAUAAUGACAGUACCGGGAGAAUAAGCACCGGCUAACUCCGUG